RNAcentral lists this ribosomal RNA (200 nucleotides) under uncultured bacterium. RNAcentral's name for it is "partial 16S ribosomal RNA". It matches the Rfam family "Bacterial small subunit ribosomal RNA", at positions 30 to 233 of the family's 1533-position model. The record is from RNAcentral.
AUUGAACGCUGGCGGCAGGCCUAACACAUGCAAGUCGAGCGGUUGAGGUAGCUUGCUACCGAUGCAGCGGCGAACGGGUGAGUAAUACAUGGGAAUCUGCCUGGUAGUGGGGGACAACGUUUCGAAAGGAACGCUAAUACCGCAUACGCCCUACGGGGGAAAGGGGGGAUCGCAAGACCUCCCGCUAUCAGAUGAGCCCA